GCUUUCCAGCCCCUCUGCCCCAGCCCAGCUCCAUGGAGUUGGGGUGACCCCAGGGCAGGACCUGGCACUUGGCCCUGUUGUCCCUCAGCCCAUGGAUCCAGCCUGUCCAGAUCCCUCUGCAGAGCCUGUAAAGAUGGUGCAGUCUGUCAGUGUUGGCUCGUUUCAGGAUGUUAAAAUAACACUUGACAUCUUGGGCUGGUGCACACCCUCAAGUGAGGAAGGGUUCCCUCACUGGUGUGGAAGCUGACAGUAGAGAACCAGCCAGAACUUCCAGCUGCUUUCUGCAUCCAGACCCUGUCCUAAAGAGUGACGGGUUGAAGAGGAGCAAUCACAGUCUGACACUCUGAGAGCUCUCUUGCUCUCACAGCGUGCAGGAGAGCAGGGCAGCAAUCGCUAACAAGAAGCUCCAGAACAGAAUGACAGGCCUCAUGUCCCCGUGACACCCUAUGAGCGGCACACAGAGCAGACAGGAGCAGCAAAUCUGUCCCAUCACAGCCACUGCCACCUCUGACCCUUCAAACAGAAUGGAUUUGGCAGGAAAGGCUGGCCGCUGCUGGUGCACCAGCUAUCAAUAUAUUCUUAAUAGAAAUGGCUCCACCGGCAGCUGAGCCCACCCCUGCCACCACAGAGAACUGUGCAGCACUCCACCAACAAAAACCUGCUGUAAAAAAUGUGCUGAUACAUAUUGUAAAUAAGAGGUUUAAUGGCAGCUGUCAGAUUACCUCUGUUGUAAAGUUGCUCCUUUAAAUUUACAUCACUGCAAUCACAAAAACUGUAAUUAAAAGCCAAGUAAAUUACUGUUUGCAUUUCUAAUGCAACAGCAAUUUCAAAACAAUGUGUCAAUACAGAGCAACAAAGAAAUUGUCUAUUUUCAAAACCAGGGAGAAGAGAUUUUAAUCUGUGAUACAUGUGUGUUUCCCAGUGUGAUUUUUCUAUUAAUGACACCUCAUAGCAAAAUAGUCCACUCUACUUACUGAUCAUAUUAAGCUGUUGCCAUGGAAAUAUGAAGACCCUACUAUACUCAGAUGUUAACUCUUAAAGCACAGCUUUACACUACUUUAAUAUCAAUUUUUGUUUAAAAAGAGAGCUCUUGGCAAGGCAGAAUUCAGUUAUUUUCCAGCUGUCUAGCACAAUGGCUGUGUUAAGAAGACAAUGGCAAGGGCUUGUUUCAGAGGUGUUGUAGGAGAGCACAUCCAUUCAGAAAUAUCCCCCCACAUCAUUUCCUUAUGAAUAGAGAAUUAUGAGAAAAGUGACAAACAGCUCCACAGACAAUGGCAGGAGUACUUAAUCAGCCAAGUUCGUUAAGGAGGAGAAGAAACUGAGCUCCUGCUUAUUUCCAGGCUAGUAUUUCUGAAUAAAUAAUUCUCAUGCACACAAAUGCAACUGAGUUGUGAAGAAAGUCAUUCCAGAUAUCCAGUUCCAGUCAGCUGGAGAACCACCUGACUCUUCAAUACCACCUUAUAAAGGCACAACAAGUGCACCCUGAUCUUGGUAAAGAAGUUGAUUUAGAUGGCUCUAAAAGCUUAAAUGAAAUACAGCCCAGAUAUAGCCUCCUUCCUCUCCCCAAGACAGAAGAAUGCCCUUGGCUUCCAUCAAAGGUCUCUCAAGUUGGAGGACUGAAGAGAUACUUAGGAUAUUUUAUUUUAGAAAGAAGGUGUAGAAUAUACUUCCAAGGCAUAUUAAAAUUGGGGAUUUUAUGGAAAGGAUAUAAUUAAGCACACUAGCAGUAAGAUAAUGUGGAUUGAGGAGCAGAUGGGUGCAUAUAUCUGCAGGAUUUUCUAACAAAGAAAAAUAUAUUCCGAGUGAAAUGCAAGUGACUGAUGCAGACAUGCCUUUAUCCUCACCUGCACUUAUCAGCUGCCAACAUUUCAAAUUGCACUGCUCUUACUCGAGUGAAACUUCCCUCUUCUUACACUGACUGGAGCUUAUCUACAGCACCAAGACACAAUGGGUCUGCUUGAAAGAUGCAGAUCCUCCUUUAACAUUUCUUAAUUCUGUUGGAUUUAAGUCAAACCCUCAGGGUGAGCACCUGUUUUUAACAGCUCAUCAAGGAUGAAGCAACACCCCUGUAGCAUCAGCAGGCUGAUAUAUGAACUGUGCAAGAGGCUGAUAUUGUGGCAGGGUGUUUAAGCAAAAAAGGACGAAUUUCCAAGUGGCUUUUCAGCAGAAUUGACCAAGACAGGCACCUCCUGAAUAGAGGGGAAAUGUGCUCUGCAGUGAAAGGGAAAUUAGCUGGAGAAGUGCCUGAGCAGGCUCGCCUUCAGCGGGAGAUCCACUCCAAAGCCUCUCCCAUUAAACCCUUCUGGGCCAGAGGAGUGAGGAGCCCGUUAGGAACCAGCCCCCCGUGGCCUGAACUGUACUUUGCUGGGAGUCUGCUUUUUAGAUUUUCAUGCUGUUAUUAUUGAGAGGAAGUCUGUGAAGGCAGACCUCUUCUUAAAAACCUCCCCAUUUUUGGUGAUGUCCGGGCUGCAGCCUGCAGGCAGGACCCCAGGGGACGGAAAGAGAAAAGUACUCAUCCUACCCCAAAAACAUGAGUUCCUCAGGACAGGAAUCAGGCACUGUCUGCCCUUUGUACCGGGAGCAGGGGAAGCAGCUUGAAUAUGUAGCUUGGGCUCAGGGUGCCUUAGCCAGUGUACACAGAGCUUCUGAAACACAGCAGGGCUCAGAGCCCUCAGCAUUGCCUCAUCUCCCUGGAAAAUGCAAAUCCAGCAAUGUGCCUCUUUGGCACUGACCUCCAGGCUGUCAGCUGAAGUGUGCCUGAGGUACAUUUCCAGGAGCUGAUGUCACAUUACAGCGAGCAAUACCUAUGCUGUGGAGUUGCUUCUGUGUUUUCAAAUCACUUUGACACACGGGAUAAAAGAAUUUCCAUAAUUAUAAAUCAAAACACAAUGGAUUUCACUGGGUACUGUUUUAAUUCAGGCACACAGCCUCUUCUCUGCUUGCUCUCUCCAGCACACUGGCUACAACUGUAUAACACUGGAACUGAGCACAGGAGAACAGCAAAACUGUCUCAAACAACACAAGUAAUUGUCAAUUUUGUAUGGCAGACCAAUAAUGGGGACAAUGGCCCACCUUACUUCCUUCUUUUAACUUGGGCAAGAACAGUGUCUGCAGAGUGAACUGACAUUUGCCUUACAUUUGCCUUUUUGCCCUGUUAAUUUGAUUGAUGCAAUGCAUACUUCUCUUUCCUUCUGUUGCUGAAAAAUAUUGCAAGAAUAUGUCAAGACUGAUGCACUCUCAGUCAAUCAGAGCAGAUUUCUGCACAUAACUUCUCUGACAAUGCCUUGUUUGCCCUCUCUGCAAACUUGCAGUGUUGGGAAUGUAGGCACAGGCUAAUUAAAGUUUAAUUAUUCACUCGAUCUAUUAGGAUGGAAUUCAGGUUAGUGCACAAGGCUGCCUGUGCCAUUUCAGCACAUCACAAGGGAGGCUGCAGAGGUAGAAGUGGAUUUGGCCAGAUAAAAUUACACUGUCCAGAGAUUUCUGCACAACAGAAAGCACAAUUUCUCUGCCUGCAUUUCUAAUGGCUAAAGACGAUUUAUCUACUGCAGAUGAUCCAGUGCACAAAGGGAGGCAUCACUGAACACAAGGUCUCUGCCAGAAGUCUCCAUGUCACUUUAAUGGUCAGAAGUUCUCACUGCUGGGAAUUCAGGCUGCUGACAGAAAAUAUCUGUCCCUGCAUAUUCCUCCUUCCUGCCCUCGAGCACAUUCUGCUUGUUUCCACAUUCUCUCAGGGCAACUUCCAUAACCUCUUCCUCACUCCCCAACUUCAGUCAGACUUCAUUUCACAACAUUAAUGAGGGUAUCCUGAUUUCAACAACAGUAAAAAGCCUUUGGGAUUUAGAUAAAGACAGAAAUGUUUCUUCUCCUGAGGAUUCCACCAAUCUUUUGGAGACCUCCUCUUUCCUCAUGGCUGAUUUUUAACCACUUGCUCUGUUAUGGCUCUGGAUUUCCAGAUGGUGCUGCAGAGGGGACUGAUGGCCUGUUAUCAGCCUGCUAAAAAUAAUACCAUUUCCAAGUGCUUCAGCUCUCCAACAUGUACCAGUGGAUUGAGCACUGUUUGUAUGACUUGAGGCCUAAAGACCAAUUUGUUUCAUGAGACUUCAGCUGCUGCAUUUCUGUGGAAGUCAAUGGAACUGCACCAGCAUCAAACAGUGCAGUGGAGUGGUGAACUGGGCCCUUAGAGUUGAAUUCCACAUGGACAAAGUGCAGGAGAGUGGCCAUGACAACUCCUGCCGCACCUGUAAGACCAUUGGAACAACAACAUUUAUUAUCUCUCAGACUCUGUCAUCUCCCCUCAAAUAUAUUUAUCAUGAUACACCCUAAAACCAUGGACCAAAGCUGAGUGUGUAUCAAUAAAGCACACAAGAGGUGUUUUAAUUAGGACUGAUCAGCAGUGGCCCUCAGUAAUCUCCAACUGCAGCUUCAUGUUCUGCAGUGGUUGUGGUACAAGGGCAAAGGGAAAGGCACUAAAAACAAUAUUGCAGGUUUCAAAUUACUUGUGCUGCAGGCAAUAUCUCAGGACAUUACAGCUGAAAAACAUUUUGAAAUGAAAUAUAUUUCAUGAUUGACCUUUUAUUUUUUGACAUGGCUUUGCUGUGAUUCUGUAUUGUAUAAGUAUUUUAUAUGUCAUUGGUCUUUCCCAAAUCACAUCUGUAGAUUUUUUGGUUUAUUGUGGAGUUUUUCUGUGUGGUUCUAUACUCCAGCAAUUAUUUUGUGGGAAAUUAUAACAUUAAAGCAGAGAACUCAGAACUAGUUUAGGCCUACCUCCAGCAAUUCUGCAACAAUUCUUUAAGAAGUAUCAGGCAGAUACUGAACCCAAAGCAACACAUAAUAGAAGCAAUUUCUGAUCUUGAUCCUGUUUGACCAUACCAGCAUGGCUUUCAAGUUAACAGGCUAAAAAGGAAGGAUGUAAUAUAUCCAGCUGAGAAAUACAUGCACACAUAAACAAGGAAAUGCAGGGGGCUUGUGCCCAGCUGGCCUGGCCUUACCUUUGUGAACUUCUGAAAAUCGUUAAGUUCCCCGUGUAAAAAAUUCCCACUAAACUUUAUUUGCUCUCUUGGAGGCUUUAAACAUUCAACACACACUGACAGCCAGACUUAAUGCCCCUGAAAAUUAAGAGUUAAGGGUAUCAAGUUGAGCUUUCAGAAAAAAACUAAUCCUUGACCUGAAACAGGUACUUGAAAUUGUACCUGUUGGCCUCUUGGGUUCAUCAGACCUUUAAGUGAGGGAUGUGAGAAUUGCACCAAGGAUUCAUACACAGAUCUUCAGAACAUGCCAGGACAUCUCUGCUUGUAAGCAAUAAACUCAUACAAUGUAAUUUUAGUGACACAGCAGGGUGCUAGUACUGCUCCUUUCCUUUAAAAAUAAACAGAAAACAAAAAGUGUUGAAUAAACAUUAAAACAAAGAUUAAUUUCAGGAUUGUCUGAGUUCCUGUCAAAACUGUAUUCAUAUGUAUUCAAACAUCAUCUGAUAAAUAACUUAACUGGAAAUUAUCAACAACAAAAAACAAAAGGAAUGGGAAAAAUAAAGAUACCUGGAAAGAUUUCAGCAAAGAUCUAACUCUUGGAGUUUUUCCAAGAGGCAGCCUUGAUUUUGAUUAAUAUUAUAAUACAGCCUGCUAAAACAGCACCUCAUAAAUAUCCAUGAAGCGGUUUAUUAGAGAUGGUUGUAAAUACUUAAAAUCUUGUCUUGCAACCCAUCAGAUUUCAGGGGAAAAAAAAGCAGUUGAGAACAUCAAAAGGUGAAAAUAAGAAGAAUUCUUAGAGGAUGUUUUCUUCCUCCUAAAUAUUAGAAUAUAUCGGUCCAAAAAACAUUAUCCUGGAGAGUGGAAAUACUACUGGAAAAUGUGUGGGCUGCUUUAUAAGCACAAAUAACAGAGAUUUUGGGAGAGAGACAGACUGCUGGGGGAAAAGAAAACCAGAAAAAUAUGACAUGGGGAAUAUAUGAAAAUUACUCUUACUACAGCCUUCUAUUUUCUCAUUUCAAAACCAAAACAAAAUAACUACUUGUGAGAAAAUGAACUUGGUAUGUAUGUAAGGAAAGGGUGGAAACCAGAGAGCUGAGAAAGGAACCAGGGACAUAUUGGGGCAUAAGCAAUUUCCUUCUGCAAUCUUUUCAUCUUGUAAGUCUGUUUUUACACAUAGCAUCUUGCAGUUGUAGAAUAAAACCAUUUUAAUUUAAGCUCUGUUAUAUCUGAGGUUUCAAUCUUCUAUUGUCUAACUUUUUGUCUUGCAUCCAGUGUCGAUGUGUUCACAGCCAAGGCCAUUCCAGGCAGCACUUUUGCUGCUUUCCAGCAUUCUCCUCUCAGAAUGAAUUUUAGCUUGUGAAGCCUCUAAGGCAGAAAACCGAAGUCAUGCAUUUAGAGAGCAACAGGAAGGAGAACAACAUUAUAAAAUGUGGCACUAAUGUGGUACCACAGCCACGUCGUCCUUGCAGGGGAGAAGACACCACUUUUCUGCAGGAUUCUGCAUCUCCUGUGGGCAGGACCCCGGGGGGGAUGCUGCAGAUAGAGCUGUCCUGUAGGACAGGAGCUCUGGGCACAGGCUGAGACAUCUGUCCUGAGGGAAUGGUGAGGAAUGGGAAGCAGCACAAGGCACGAGUGACCACAGACAAGCUCCUGCAGAAAGGGCAGGCUGUGAUUGCUAUUCCAGCUCAGCUCCUGUCCCAGCUGCUCCCUGUGGACAGUCUGGAGUCACAGUGCAGUUUCAGGAGAGAGUGGCAGCCCAACAGCUUGCUUUCAAUUCCCACUGCCUUUGCUGUGAUGAGAAUUUCCCAUGUAACCAGCCCAGUGGUACAAGUCCCCUGCCCUGCUGGCUCGGUGGCAGACACAGCUCCCCAGACAGGGCACAGCUC
Passer domesticus (house sparrow) is the source of this 6853-nucleotide long non-coding RNA. RefSeq lists it as uncharacterized. The transcript is spliced from 5 exons. NCBI's taxonomy places the organism in Eukaryota, Metazoa, Chordata, Aves, Passeriformes, Passeridae. The record is from RefSeq and is a predicted model, not a curated record.